CCUACGGCACGCAGCAGUAGGGAAUAUUGGACAAUGGGCGCAAGCCUGAUCCAGCCAUGCCGCGUGCAGGAAGAAGGCGUUUGCGUUGUAAACUGCUUUUGAUCGGGAAUAUGUACCGAUAGAAUAAGCCACGGCUAACUACGUGCCAGCAGCCGCGGUAAUACGUAGGUGGCAAGCGUUAUCCGGAUUUAUUGGGUUUAAAGGGAGCGUAGGCGGUUUUGUAAGUCAGUGGUGAAAGACGGUCGCUCAACGAUCACAUUGCCAUUGAUACUGCAAGGCUAGAGUACAGUAGAGGUGGGCGGAAUUUAUGGUGUAGCGGUGAAAUGCAUAGAUACCAUAAAGAACACCGAUUGCGUAGGCAGCUCACUGCUGUAACUGACGCUGAGGCUCGAAAGUGUGGGUAUCAAACAGGAUUAGAUACCCUAGUAGUC
Molecule: ribosomal RNA, 431 nt
Filed under: uncultured bacterium
Lineage: Bacteria
Description: partial 16S ribosomal RNA
Rfam family: Bacterial small subunit ribosomal RNA
Source: RNAcentral